Long non-coding RNA from Bactrocera neohumeralis, 1463 nucleotides. RefSeq lists it as uncharacterized. Lineage: Eukaryota; Metazoa; Arthropoda; Insecta; Diptera; Tephritidae. The transcript has 3 exons. The record is from RefSeq and is a predicted model, not a curated record.
CAUGGCCGCCCAUUGACGGAAGCUAAAAUGUUGCUCCUACGAUAUACGCCUUAAAAGAAUUUGGUGACUUUAGCCAUAUUUGAACGCAGUUUUCGUGCUCAUUUUACUAGUCAUCAGCUAACUGUCGUUCAUGCCAGGUUUUCUGAGUUGGCAAUACCGACGGCAACUGUCAUUUUCAGCUGUCCCACUUUUGCAUGGAGGGAAAAUUGCAUGUUGUGAAAUAAACAGACGCAAAUGAAUGUGAAACAUUUGUGAAAAUAAAACUUUGGCCAAAUGAUGGUGCAUAUAGUAUGUAUGUUUAUGCGUACAUAUACGAAUAUGUCGUAUAUAUAAUUAAAAUAAGCAAAUUAUUAUUGACAUUUAAACGAACAAUUAAUAUCCGCGAUUUAUGGGGAAUUAGAAAAUUUGAAAGCAUUUCCUUUAAUUUGUUGCAUUUUUAACGAACGAAAUGCAUGAAAGGCGUGCAUUAUUUAUAAUAUAGUACUAUAAGUCUUUGCACUGCUUUUAAGCCCCCAGCGCAGCAACGAAGAAGCGUCAAAAUAUAUGUAGGUAGACCUGUGUUCAAUAUCGAUUCGUCAAAUAUAUAAUACAUAUAUUCGUCCUGUCAGAAGUCCUAUUAGACAGAAAACGAUCAUAUAAAUGAGAGAGAGAGAGUUGCUAAUGGGCAAUUGCUCUACAAGCCAACAAGCCUAUACUUCGAACUGGUUGGGGUUCUGAACGAAAUCGAAAGCGAUUAUGGAUUUACAUCUACUUAUAUGAUUUAUACAUAAGUACAUAUUUACAAAUAAACCUAAGUGCAUCGUCGAACUCAUACAAAUGCCCCGAUAUACAUACAUAUAUACAUAUGUGUGACCAAUGAUCCAACAAAUCGAUCCAACUUUUCACAAUGGUUUCCAGUACGUGUUCCAUCUCUUUCACGCAUUUGCCUGAAAGCAAAUCCAUGGCGGCCAUGACCAUGCGAAAUUCGGUAUUUCACAACUUCAAAUUUCGGCAAUGAUGAAAUUGUGUUGUAUAAGUCCAAAGACAUGUCAGCAAUGGAACCAGUACUACUAAAACGGUUCAUAGUUCACUUUUGGGAAAAAGUAUAAACGAAAAAGAGUUUCACCAUGAGGUUUACACGGAUUGAGCCCAAUCUUGUUGCUUUGGCCGAGAAAUAUAAUGUGAAUAAAAUGAUCUGCCGCAAAUGUUAUGCUCGUCUGCCGCCGAGGGCCACCAAUUGUCGGAAGAAGGACUGUCAUUCUAGCGAUCUGCGUCCUAAAAAGUUAUUGAAGGAUUACAAAUAAAUGCUUAGAUAUACUGUGGCCAAAACUACCUCUCUAUAUUUAUGAAAUGAUAUACAUAUGUACAUAUGUACAUGUAUAGAUAUGUUUAAAUAUCAUGUGUAAAAUGUAAUUGUAAAUUAUACUACCGUAGAUACCACUGGAGGUAUUUUUUUACUUUUUUAAUAAAAUCUUUUAAAAUAA